Long non-coding RNA from Homo sapiens (human), 417 nucleotides. NCBI's taxonomy places the organism in Eukaryota, Metazoa, Chordata, Mammalia, Primates, Hominidae. The record is from Ensembl.
AAAAAAAUUGGGGUUUCUAAAUUCACUGUUGAGUGCUGUGGAUUACUUUUGGAAAGGCUUUUCGGAGCGCUUCUGAAUUUUCAGAUUCUCUAACUAUCCCUAACGGUGCCUGGAUGUGUGUCUGAGAAAAGGCAGCAGACUCGGAGAGGUUGAAGGGUCGGGUCAAAGCAAAAGAUGCGUUUGUGAAUGUCAGACAUUUGGAGGCUCUUCAGUGGCUCCUUAGCAUCAGGGAUGCCAGGCAGUCCCAGUGGAAGCGAAGAGAUACUCGGCAAGUGGCUGCUGGUAAUGGGACGCAAAUGUUGACUUGAUUUGUGGGACAUCCACGCUGAGAACUGAGUGCUCACGUAACUCAAAUGGGGGUAAUUUGGUUUGUUCCACUAUAUGUUUAUCUUCAAUAAAAUACCUACUGUCUGUGCA